CGGCGGACGGGUGAGUAACACGUGGAUAACCUACCUAUAAGACUGGAUAACUUCGGGAAACCGGAGCUAAUACCGGAUAAUAUAUUGAACCGCACGGUUCAAUAGUGAAAGACGGUUUUGCUGUCACUUAUAGAUGGAUCCGCGCCGCAUUAGCUAGUUGGUAAGGUAACGGCUUACCAAGGCAACGAUGCGUAGCCGACCUGAGAGGGUGAUCGGCCACACUGGAACUGAGACACGGUCCAGACUCCUACGGGAGGCAGCAGCU
Molecule: ribosomal RNA, 265 nt
Filed under: uncultured Staphylococcus sp.
Lineage: Bacteria; Bacillati; Bacillota; Bacilli; Caryophanales; Staphylococcaceae
Description: partial 16S ribosomal RNA
Rfam family: Bacterial small subunit ribosomal RNA
Source: RNAcentral